AUCAUGUCUUGAUGAAAGAAGAAGAAGAAAAGAAGGUCAUCUCUUAAGGUUUCUUUUAGAACCCUUAUUCUCUAUCAAUCAUGAGAUUUUUCUAUGAGAAAAAUCAGAUAACAUAAGAUCUGAAAGUUUGAAAAAUAUCUAGAGGAGAAGGUCUCUUCAUGUCCAAGCAUAGAGAUGUUCUCAGGACAUCAAUCGUUUAUGUCCUGAAAGAGAAGAUCUGUCUUCCC
Molecule: long non-coding RNA, 227 nt
Filed under: Elaeis guineensis (African oil palm)
Lineage: Eukaryota; Viridiplantae; Streptophyta; Magnoliopsida; Arecales; Arecaceae
Description: long non-coding RNA (EGUI_LNC077596)
Source: RNAcentral